AAUCCAUAGGUUAAUGAGGCGAACCGGGGGAACUGAAACAUCUAAGUACCCCGAGGAAAAGAAAUCAACCGAGAUUCCCCCAGUAGCGGCGAGCGAACGGGGAGGAGCCCAGAGCCUGAAUCAGCAUGUGUGUUAGUGGAAGCGUCUGGAAAGGCGCGCGAUACAGGGUGACAGCCCCGUACACAAAAGCGCAUGUGCUGUGAGCUCGAUGAGUAGGGCGGGACACGUGGUAUCCUGUCUGAAUAUGGGGGGACCAUCCUCCAAGGCUAAAUACUCCUGACUGACCGAUAGUGAACCAGUACCGUGAGGGAAAGGCGAAAAGAACCCCGGCGAGGGGAGUGAAAAAGAACCUGAAACCGUGUACGUACAAGCAGUGGGAGCACCCUUUGGGUGUGACUGCGUACCUUUUGUAUAAUGGGUCAGCGACUUAUAUUCUGUAGCAAGGUUAACCGAAUAGGGGAGCCGGAGGGAAACCGAGUCUUAACCGGGCGUUAAGUUGCAGGGUAUAGACCCGAAACCCGGUGAUCUAGCCAUGGGCAGGUUGAAGGUUGGGUAACACUAACUGGAGGACCGAACCGACUAAUGUUGAAAAAUUAGCGGAUGACCUGUGGCUGGGGGUGAAAGGCCAAUCAAACCGGGAGAUAGCUGGUUCUCCCCGAAAGCUAUUUAGGUAGCGCCUCGUGAAUUCAUCUCCGGGGGUAGAGCACUGUUUCGGCUAGGGGGCCAUCCCGGCUUACCAACCCGAUGCAAACUGCGAAUACCGGAGAAUGUUAUCACGGGAGACACACGGCGGGUGCUAACGUCCGUCGUGAAGAGGGAAACAACCCAGACCGCCAGCUAAGGUCCCAAAGUCAUGGUUAAGUGGGAAACGAUGUGGGAAGGCCCAGACAGCCAGGAUGUUGGCUUAGAAGCAGCCAUCAUUUAAAGAAAGCGUAAUAGCUCACUGGUCGAGUCGGCCUGCGCGGAAGAUGUAACGGGGCUAAACCAUGCACCGAAGCUGCGGCAGCGACACUGUGUGUUGUUGGGUAGGGGAGCGUUCUGUAAGCCUGUGAAGGUGUGUCGUGAGGCAUGCUGGAGGUAUCAGAAGUGCGAAUGCUGACAUAAGUAGCGAUAAAGCGGGUGAAAAGCCCGCUCGCCGGAAGACCAAGGGUUCCUGUCCAACGUUAAUCGGGGCAGGGUGAGUC
This 1184-nucleotide ribosomal RNA is filed under the name Salmonella enterica subsp. enterica serovar Enteritidis. RNAcentral's name for it is "partial 23S ribosomal RNA". It matches the Rfam family "Bacterial large subunit ribosomal RNA", at positions 161 to 1385 of the family's 2925-position model. The record is from RNAcentral. Lineage: Bacteria; Pseudomonadati; Pseudomonadota; Gammaproteobacteria; Enterobacterales; Enterobacteriaceae.